UGGGCGGAGUCUUCCAGUGUAACUCAGGUGAUACAGGUGGGCGGAGUCUUCCAGUGUAACUCAGGUGAUACAGGUGGGCGGAGUCUUCCAGUGAAACUCAGGUGAUCCAGGUGGGCGGAUCUUCCAGUGUAACUCAGGUGAUCCAGGUGGGUGGAGUCUUCCAGUGUAACUCAGGUCAUACAGGUGGGUGGAGUCUCCCAGUGUAACUCAGGUCAUACAGGUGGGUGGAGUCUCCCAGUGUAACUCAGGUGAUACAGGUGGGUGGAGUCUUCCAGUGUAACUCAGGUGAUACAGGUGGGCGGAGUCUUCCAGUGUAACUCAGGUGAUACAGGUGGGCGGAGUCUUCCAGUGUAACUCAGGUGAUACAGGUGGGCGGAGUCUUCCAGUGUAACUCAGGUGAUACAGGUGGGCCGAGUUUUCCAGUGAAACUCAGGUGAUACAGGUGGGCGGAUCUUCCAGUGUAACUCAGGUGAUACAGGUGGGCGGAGUCUUCCAGUGUAACUCAGGUGAUACAGGUGGGCGGAGUCUUCCAGUGUAACUCAGGUGAUACAGGUGGGCGGAGUCUUCCAGUGAAACUCAGGUGAUCCAGGUGGGCGGAUCUUCCAGUGUAACUCAGGUGAUCCAGGUGGGUGGAGUCUUCCAGUGUAACUCAGGUCAUACAGGUGGGUGGAGUCUCCCAGUGUAACUCAGGUCAUACAGGUGGGUGGAGUCUCCCAGUGUAACUCAGGUCAUACAGGUGGGUGGAGUCUCCCAGUGUAACUCAGGUGAUCCUGGUGGGUGGAGUCUUCCAGUGUAACUCAGGUGAUCCAGGUGGGUGGAGUCUUCCAGUGUAACUCAGGUGAUCCAGGUGGGUGGAGUCUUCCAGUGUAACUCAGGUGAUCCAGGUGGGUGGAGUCUUCCAGUGUAACUCAGGUGAUCCAGGUGGGUGGAGUCUUCCAGUGUAACUCAGGUGAUCCAGGUGGGUGGAGUCUUCCAGUGUAACUCAGGUGAUCCAGGUGGGUGGAGUCUUCCAGUGUAACUCAGGUGAUCCAGGUGGGUGGAGUCUUCCAGUGUAACUCAGGUGAUCCAGGUGGGUGGAGUACUGGACACCUUUUGGUAACAUGAUAUCCUUGUCUGUCCCACAAGGGGACGAUGGCAAAGUAUUUUAGUUUUGUGAAAACUAGAAAGUAUCAUCUUCCCAGAAGUAGCUAGCCGUCUUUAGCCCGGGUGUCUUUAGCCUGGCCUGGCCGUCUUUAGCCUGGACGUCGUUAGCCUGGCCGUCUUUAGCCUGGACGUCUUUAGCCCGGACGUCUUUAGCCCGGACGUCUUUAGCCCGGCUGUCUUUAGCCUGGCUGUCUUUAGCCUCUUUAGCCCGGCCGUCUUUUGCCCGGCCGUCUUUAGCCCGGCUGUCUUUAGCCUGGCUGUCUUUAGCCUCUUUAGCCCGGCCGUCUUUUGCCCGGCCGUCUUUAGCCCGGCCUGGCCGUCUUUAGCCCGGCCUGGCCGUCUUUAGCCCGGCCGUC
Molecule: long non-coding RNA, 1499 nt
Organism: Oncorhynchus keta (chum salmon)
Lineage: Eukaryota; Metazoa; Chordata; Actinopteri; Salmoniformes; Salmonidae
Exons: 3
Source: RefSeq, a predicted model, not a curated record